This 377-nucleotide ribosomal RNA is filed under the name uncultured eukaryote. Its description in RNAcentral is "partial 18S ribosomal RNA". It matches the Rfam family "Eukaryotic small subunit ribosomal RNA", at positions 592 to 976 of the family's 1831-position model. The record is from RNAcentral.
CAAUAGCGUAUAUUAAAGUUGUUGCAGUUAAAAAGCUCGUAGUUGGAUUUCGGGGCAGCCUGGCUGGUCCGCCGCAAGGCGAGUACUGGUCAGCCGCCCUUCCUCUUGAAAGCCCCGACUGCUCUUCGUUGCAGUGGUCGGGUAGUUCGGGACGUUUACUUUGAAAAAAUUAGAGUGUUCAAGGCAGGCCUACGCCUGAAUACAUUAGCAUGGAAUAAUGGAAGAGGACCUCGGUCCUAUUUUGUUGGUUUCCAGGGCCGAAGUAAUGAUUAAGAGGGACAGUUGGGGGCAUUCGUAUUUAAUUGUCAGAGGUGAAAUUCUCGGAUUUAUGAAAGACGAACAACUGCGAAAGCAUUUGCCAAGGAUGUUUUCAUUAA